Molecule: long non-coding RNA, 585 nt
Filed under: Homo sapiens (human)
Lineage: Eukaryota; Metazoa; Chordata; Mammalia; Primates; Hominidae
Description: non-protein coding LINC02443:13
Source: RNAcentral
CUUCACCUCCCAUUGUCUCUGUCUCUCUCUUUCUCCUCUGCUUCCCCUCACCCCACAACCAAAGUCAAGAGCGCAGACCCCAUGAUCACCUGAUACUUCCAAGCAAGCAGGUGUUCUUUUCAGAAGCCAGAAGCUGAUAACCUGGGCUUUCUGAUCUAACCCCAGCCCAAAUUCAUUGCAAUGGAGGAAUUGGGGAGGAGAUUCUUCCUACUGAGAAGUGGGUGCCAACUCUCCCUUUCAAAUUUGUUCAUCAACAAACUAAAGGGGAUGCCAGAAAUGUCUGGAGCAAUGGAAGAACCACUGGAAUAAUGCUCCUGCCUGAUUGUAUCUACUUAACCCACUCUCCAAGAGCCAGAAUCAGAUUUCAACCGUAUGGAAUCAUCUACAAUGCAGCAGAUGGGUUUACAAGUCUCUUGGUCUCUUCAUGUAAUUAACAGCCAAGAAGUCUAAAGCUUGCAUUGUUUACGUGGAAGAUGUUUCUUGCCCAUUCCCAUGCCAUGCCAUCUGAAAUCGCUCCUUUUUUUAUUUUUUCUGUGCAGUUUUUUUAACUUUGUGGGAUCCUCUGCAUAUAAAACUCCAUUCAAC